Long non-coding RNA from Fopius arisanus, 1790 nucleotides. RefSeq lists it as uncharacterized. The record is from RefSeq and is a predicted model, not a curated record. The transcript is spliced from 4 exons. NCBI's taxonomy places the organism in Eukaryota, Metazoa, Arthropoda, Insecta, Hymenoptera, Braconidae.
AGAGAGUGAACGGCAGUAGUGAAGCGACAGUUGUGUACGUUGGAUUGUGGUUGCUGCGUCGCGUGUAUCAUAACUUUCGGAACUUGUUGUUACCCGUCAAAACAAUGACUUCGAUAAAUCGUUAGAUUCGAACUCGUGAGUGAAUAUUGUCGUGUAGCAUCAGUACCAUUUAUUCGUGUGAAGUCAGCGGGUGAAUGUGAAGUGGGGAAAAACAAGUGAGUGCGGGAUUGACGUUCACGAGUACUUGUACAUGCGCGGGAUAGUCACUGGCGUCGCGACGACACUCGUAUGUUAUUGACAGCGGCACCGACGCACCACCGUUACAGGAACGUGGGAUCCUCCAGGGGGAUUCAGUGAAUUCGAGGUUAGGAUUACGGAUUGUUUUUUUUUUUAUUCAUUUCGUGUGAGGGACGCCUGGGUGUAUCCUUGUGCUGCGCCUUGCACAGACUUUCAAGGACUUUGUUUGAUGUGGGGUUGUGUGCGGUGGGGACGGAUUCGGUUUUGUUUUGUGUUGUGCACGUGUGAUUUGUGACUGCCGGUACGACAAUUGGAGGCUUUCAACAACUUGUUCGUGUAGCUGACGGGCAAAAAUAGUCAUUGAGGAGUGGUACGUCAGUUAUUCCGGGAGGAUGGAGACCUAGAUUGCAAUUACAAAUGCAGUGUAAGUGUUAAAAAAGAGUGAGAUGGAGGAAUAAAUAAAAAAAAAGAGGUGGUGGGCAAGUCAAAAAAGCGCGUGAAGGAGAAAUUAGAGUUUAAUCUAUUUUGGGGGCGUGUGAAGGAGUGAAAAUCAAAUUACGUCGACGGCGUCGUCGAUGGAGUUUGCCCUGCCCCACCGACGGAUACAGAAUUUUCUCUUGGAAAAAAAUUUAUUCCCCUUUUUUCGCUUCUACACCCACAGUGAGUCGACAAGACGCCGGCGUCGUGUCGUCGAGUGAAUCGUGAUAAGUACUCUUGACACGUCGCGGUCGACUCUGCCGUGUCCUCAUCUCCUUUUUUCAAAAGUACCACCGAAAACUGGUCGUCUCACCGUUGCAAAGAAAAAUAGGGGAUAAAAAAUUUCGACUGAGUUUUGCCUCCGAAUUUUUUCUCGACCAGACUGGGCCCCCUCAGUUCUGUUUUUUCUUUCACCUCUUGGAUCUGCUCCCGGGAUUUUUAUUUCUCACAUACAUCCAUCUUCAACCCCCGGAAAUCCUCGAGGCAGCAUCCAAAGAAUUCUGGCCGUCCUUCUCUCGCAAGAAGCUCCAGUGAACACGAAAUCUCGGUGAACUCAGCGAAAAGGAACCACUGCCGGGAGGAUAACAAGAUGUGAAUUGUCUGCAUCUGUGAAAAAAAAAGGAUAAAAAGCACCGAUGAAGUCCCCCGGGAACAGUGACAACUAGUGGGUUGACCUCGGCCUUCACCGGCUCUCCGAAAUGGUGUGAAUAUCCGAAACGGAGGUUCACUGAUAAAUUAUUUUCGUGCCGUCCUUAACAGCCAGCUGACGGAGACAGAGCAACUCGUUAAAAAUGUACAAGUUAUUGCGUCGCGGCUCGGGCCGUACGUUUCUGCUGUGUGCUGUACUACUCUCGUUACUACUGUGCCUCUAUUACGUCAGCCAAACACAGGGGCCCUCGUCAGGUCAAGCCCCAGCCCUUCUUGCUGCUCCUGUUGGUGUAAGAUACGAGAGGCCAACAACACUUGCUCCAGAUUACAGUGAGGCACCUGAUGCUCGCGUCUCCAUGGCCACCUGUCCAUCACUAAGACCCAGAGGAGCGGACAUCGAGGCCCAGGAGGAGUUUGAUAAAUUCGAC